RNAcentral lists this ribosomal RNA (468 nucleotides) under uncultured bacterium. RNAcentral describes it as "partial 16S ribosomal RNA". It matches the Rfam family "Bacterial small subunit ribosomal RNA", at positions 28 to 507 of the family's 1533-position model. The record is from RNAcentral.
GACGAACGCUGGCGGCGUGCUUAACACAUGCAAGUCGAACGGAAAGGCCCUGCUUUUGUGGGGUGCUCGAGUGGCGAACGGGUGAGUAACACGUGAGUAACCUGCCCUUGACUUUGGGAUAACUUCAGGAAACUGGGGCUAAUACCGGAUAGGAGCUCCUGCUGCAUGGUGGGGGUUGGAAAGUUUCGGCGGUUGGGGAUGGACUCGCGGCUUGUCAGCUUGUUGGUGGGGUAGUGGCUUACCAAGGCUUUGACGGGUAGCCGGCCUGAGAGGGUGACCGGCACACUGGGGAGAGAGAUACGGCCGGCAGCCCUGGGGAAGAGAGCAGGGGGGGUGAUAGCCUGAUGGAGGGAAGCCGAGUGAGGGAGGGCCGCGUGCGGGUUGGGGGCCUUGGGGUUUAAACCCGCAUGCGCGUGUAGCGAGGGGGGGUUGACGGUAGGGGGAAAAGAAGCGCCGGCUAACUACGUG